Molecule: unclassified non-coding RNA, 400 nt
Filed under: soil metagenome
Description: partial contains 5.8S ribosomal RNA, internal transcribed spacer 2, and large subunit ribosomal RNA
Rfam family: 5.8S ribosomal RNA (bases 1-122)
Source: RNAcentral
GAUGAAGAACGUAGCGAAAUGCGAUACUUGGUGUGAAUUGCAGAAUCCCGUGAACCAUCGAGUCUUUGAACGCAAGUUGCGCCUCAAGCCAUUAGGUUGAGGGCACGUCUGCCUGGGCGUCACAUAUCGUUGCCUGAUGCCAGUUUCCCCGUGAUGGGUGACUGUGCAGGGCGAAUGAUGGCUUCCCGUGAGCAUUGUUGCCUCAUGGUUGGUUGAAAAUUGAGUCCUUGGUAGGGAGCGCCGUGAUAGAUGGUGGUUGAGUGACGAACGAGACCCAAUCAUGUGAGACCCCUACCGAAUUUGGCCUUCAUGACCCACAUGCGUCUUUGGAACGCUCAUGACGAGACCUCAGGUCAGGCGGGGCUACCCGCUGAGUUUAAGCAUAUCAAUAAGCGGAGGA